Non-coding RNA from Acanthosepion pharaonis, 113 nucleotides. The record is from the annotation of a GenBank genome assembly. Lineage: Eukaryota; Metazoa; Mollusca; Cephalopoda; Sepiida; Sepiidae.
UUACGGCCAUAUCACGUUCAAACAACAGUUCCCGUAUGAACACCAAAGUUAAGCAAUGUUGAGCCUUGUCAGUACCUAGAUGGGUGACCACUUGGAAAUGUCAGGCGCUGUAA